Molecule: ribosomal RNA, 422 nt
Filed under: uncultured archaeon
Lineage: Archaea
Description: partial 16S ribosomal RNA
Rfam family: Archaeal small subunit ribosomal RNA
Source: RNAcentral
CUACGGGCGGCACCAGGCGAGAAAACUUUGCAAUGUGCGAAAGCACGACAAGGUUAAUCCGAGUGGUUUGUGCUAAACGAACCUUUUGACAGUCCUAGAAACACUGUUGAAUAAGGGGUGGGCAAGUUCUGGUGUCAGCCGCCGCGGUAAAACCAGCACCUCAAGUGGUCAGGAUGAUUAUUGGGCCUAAAGCAUCCGUAGCCGGCUCUGUAAGUUUUCGGUUAAAUCUGUACGCUCAACGUACAGGCUGCCGGGAAUACUGCAGAGCUAGGGAGUGGGAGAGGUAGACGGUACUCGGUAGGAAGGGGUAAAAUCCUUUGAUCUAUUGAUGACCACCUGUGGCGAAGGCGGUCUACCAGAACACGUCCGACGGUGAGGGAUGAAAGCUGGGGGAGCAAACCGGAUUAGAUACCCUUGUAGUC